This 432-nucleotide ribosomal RNA is filed under the name uncultured bacterium. RNAcentral's name for it is "partial 16S ribosomal RNA". It matches the Rfam family "Bacterial small subunit ribosomal RNA", at positions 28 to 507 of the family's 1533-position model. The record is from RNAcentral.
GAUGAACGCUGGCGGUAUGCUUAACACAUGCAAGUCGAACGGUCACUUCGGUGAUAGUGGCGGACGGGUGAGUAACGCGUGAGAAUCUGUCUUCAGGUCGGGGACAACAGUUAGAAAUGACUGCUAAUACCGGAUGUGCCUUUGGGUGAAAGAUUUAUUGCCUGAAAAAGAGCUCGCGUCAGAUUAGCUAGUAGGUGGUGUAAGAGACUACCUAGGCUCCGAUCUGUAGCUGGUCUGAGAGGACGAUCAGCCACACUGGAACUGAGACACGGUCCAGACUCCUACGGGAGGCAGCAGUGGGGAAUUUUCCGCAAUGGGCGAAAGCCUGACGGAGCAAUACCGCGUGAGAGACGAAGACUUUUGGGUCGUAAACCUCUUUUCUCAAGGAAGAUGAUGACGGUACUUGAGGAAUAAGCAUCGGCUAACUCUGUG